Molecule: ribosomal RNA, 1125 nt
Filed under: Triticum aestivum (bread wheat)
Lineage: Eukaryota; Viridiplantae; Streptophyta; Magnoliopsida; Poales; Poaceae
Description: partial small subunit ribosomal RNA
Source: RNAcentral
AUGAGAGUCAACACCAUCGUCGAGGAGGCUGAUGCGAGCUACAUAGUCAACUCCAGGAUGCUGAUGCAGCUAAAGAUGCUCUCCGAGGCUAUGUACAGAGGACACCGCAUGCUGGACACCCUGAGGUACCGAACUCUCCCAGACAGUGCAGGCUUCGACAAGGUUAGCAUCAACGACUCACCUAGCUGCAGCUUGUAUUUAGCCAUUCCUUUCAAGCGUCCUCGAACAACAACUGAGAAGGAUGUCCAGGCAAUGCGCCUCGAGUCACAUGGUGCCUUGCAGUGGCGGAGCGUGAAGGUCACCGUUGCUAACAUGGUAGAAUUUGUUGUGCUUCUGGAUGGAUGCGAGCACAUGUCUCGUAGGUCAUAUGACAUUUAUCUCUAUACCGACAACUUCAUGUUCGGCCGACAUGCUGAAAAGCAAAAGUUUUUUAGCUUCUUGUUGCAACACAACCCUCCUGGUGAUGCACCAGCCAUUCUUUCGAUCAUAGGUGGUGUCAAGGUUGGGAAGAAAACUUUGGUUGCUCACGUGUGUGGCGACGAAAGGGUUUGCUCCCGCUUCUCUUCUGUUUUGCACCUGAAUGGAGACAGCCUCUUGAGAAUACGGGACCACGGGAGGACAACAUUUGGGAUGACGAUGUUGGUAGUUAUUGAGUUUGAUUCUGAUGUAUGCGAUGAAGACUGGAAAGUCUUCUACUCAUUUUCCAUAAGAAUGUGCAGAGGAAGCAAAAUCAUCAUUGUAGGUAGAAUUCAAAGAUUAGCCCGAUUUGGAUCGGUGAAACCGAUUCUCAUAAGUGUUCUGUCUUAUGAUGAGUUGAGGUACCUCUUUAAGACAAUGGCCUUCGGGAGUGUAGACCCGGCAGAACAUCCACGGCUAGUACAAAUAGCACAAAUAGCAGAUGAAGUUCCCAAGGAGUUGCACAAGCAAGGCUCACUAAUCGCCACAAAUAUUUUUGCGUAUGCGUUGAGAAUGAACUUCAGUGUUCAGUUUUGGCCUUGCAUAUUGGACAAGGGGACAAGAUAUGUUAAAAGAAACCUGUCCCUGUAUGGUGUGCACCCAAGCACGCUUGUAGAACAAGGCCAUCCAGUGGACAUAACGACAUUGCUUUGCAUCCACUUAGCAUGA